CAAUGAUCGAGAAACGAGGUGGUGGGACGAGGCACGCGGCUGCUACGCGAACAGCGUGGUGGCACGUAGUCCACGGAGAAGAACACCACGAGUCUGCCUCCGAUGCGACUGCUGGCCGGAAGUGGCCACUGUGGAUCCGGUCACUCGACGUCGACGAAUAUGUGUAUCGUGUUUUCACCGGUAUCAACCAGACAAUCGACGAUUUUCUUCGGACGUUGAGCGGUUAGUGGAUCGUUUUCUUUGCGAGGAGGACGUUCGGAAUUGUUUGAAGUGAAUAUUGGAGUUUGACAGACGACGAAAAAUUUCAGACAGCUGGAGGAUUUUAUUUCUCUUAAGAUACUGAACAGUCGGUGAACGUUUUGCCUUUGUGAAGAGAACGUUUGAAAUUGUUUGAGGUGGACGCUGGAAUUUGAUUAUCGACGAGGAAUUUCCGGCAGUUCGAGCAUUUCCUUGCGUGAGAAUCGUUUUUCGAAGGAUAUUGAACAGUUAGUGGACUCUUGGAAACAGUGUUUGAGUUUGUUCGAAGUGGGUUUUUCAACCAAGUCAAACUUUGGAUAAUUUGAGAAUCUUUCGUCUUAAAAUACUGGGGAGUAAGUGGAUUCUUUUCGUUGCUAAGAGAGUGUUUGAGUUUGUUUGUACAGUCUGGCAUCUGAUACAGGAUUUUGAAUGGUACAAGGAUUCUCUUGGAUCGGAAUCGCAUCUUUUAAUAUAUUAACAGUUACUGGAUUCUUUCCUUAGAAUUAAUAAGAAGAAUGUUUCACUUUGUUCGAUGUGAAGACUAGAAUUUAGCGAAAGAGGAGUUUAAACAAUUCACUGAUUCUCUUGAAUAAGUAUCUGUUUGUUUAAGACAUGGAAUAGUGAUUCCCUAGGAAGAAUGUAAACAAUUAGAAGAUUCCACAGGAAGAAUAUAAACAAUUAGAGGAUUCUCUAGAAGUCUGAGAAUGUUUGACUUAGUUUAAGGUGAUCACUCGUGGAUGUUCAAUUUGGAGGUACACGCUUUUACCUUGGAAGAAAGGGGAUGGAAAUCUUCGAAUACUGAAACGUUGCAUGGAAAAGUUGUAAAAUAGAUCUUGAACAAUUAGAAGAUCGUUUAUGUUAAUUUGAGGCAGAUGCCGGCAGACCUUGAAUCUCGAAGAACAAACGAGUAGCGUGAUUUAGGCAGAAGAAUGAAAAAUACACUGUGAAAAUUGCAGAAGAACCUGACGAAUGUGAAAAACAGGGAAGAACACAGUCGUGGUUAUUUUAAGUGAAAUACAAUAUAACGCAUAAUCAAGACAUUCGCAAUCUAAACGACGAGUUAGCACGUCUUUUCCAGUCAACAAGAAAGAAACUGUCGAGAGAAAGCGAGUCUUCCUUCGAAAAGAAUUGAGAUAAAAAUACAUAAAUAUGCAAAGGAAAAAAAAUAGUUGAUCUGAAUGGAAUGUUAUGGAAAUGUCGAAAUAAAAUGCGACUAAUCUGA
This is a long non-coding RNA of Bombus impatiens (common eastern bumble bee), 1459 nucleotides long. RefSeq lists it as uncharacterized. The transcript is spliced from 2 exons. Lineage: Eukaryota; Metazoa; Arthropoda; Insecta; Hymenoptera; Apidae. The record is from RefSeq and is a predicted model, not a curated record.